AACAAGGCGUACCUGCGGACCUGCGGAAGGAUCAUUACACAAUACAAUAUGAAGGCUGUCCGCAGCUGGAGUAUUUUAUUACCCUUGUCUUUUGCGCACUUGUUGUUUCCUGGGCGGGUUCGCUCGCCACCAGGACCACCAAAUAAACCUUUUUUAUGCAGUUGCAAUCAGCGUCAGUACAAACAAUGUAAAUCAUUUACAACUUUUAACAACGGAUCU
RNAcentral lists this unclassified non-coding RNA (219 nucleotides) under soil metagenome. RNAcentral's name for it is "partial contains 5.8S ribosomal RNA, internal transcribed spacer 2, and large subunit ribosomal RNA". The record is from RNAcentral.